Molecule: ribosomal RNA, 120 nt
Filed under: uncultured bacterium
Lineage: Bacteria
Description: partial 16S ribosomal RNA
Rfam family: Bacterial small subunit ribosomal RNA
Source: RNAcentral
CAUGCCGUAAACGUUGGGCACUAGGUGUGGGGAGCCGUCAACGCUCUCUGUGCCGUAGCUAACGCAUUAAGUGCCCCGCCUGGGGAGUACGGCCGCAAGGCUAAAACUCAAAGGAAUUGA